GUUCGAAUAGUGUAGUGGUUAUCACGCGUUGCUCACACCGACGAGGUCCCCGGUUCGAUCCCGGGUUCGAACA
RNAcentral lists this transfer RNA (73 nucleotides) under Fonsecaea pedrosoi CBS 271.37. RNAcentral's name for it is "tRNA-Val (CAC) (tRNA-Val-CAC-1-1)". It matches the Rfam family "tRNA". From Rfam's summary of the family: Transfer RNA (tRNA) molecules are approximately 80 nucleotides in length. Their secondary structure includes four short double-helical elements and three loops (D, anti-codon, and T loops). The record is from RNAcentral. Lineage: Eukaryota; Fungi; Ascomycota; Eurotiomycetes; Chaetothyriales; Herpotrichiellaceae.